GCCAGUUCUGUGCGCUAUUCAGCCACAGAUAUACAAUGGGAAAGCCAAAGACAAAAGAAAGACGCUCCUCCGCAAAUGGCGUGCCGAAUACAGCUUCGGAAAUGCCUGCAAACCCCCUCACUCCCAAUGCAGAUUCGCUUCCCGACCUCUCUCUCAGCGUCCUCGCUAAAUUGAAGAGGCGUAUUGAACAAGGCUUCCAAGACCAGAAACCUCAGUCACAAAAGGAUAAAAAGGUGUCUGUGAGUGAAUUGAAACAGAAGGCAAAUGCAGGCCCGCAAUCAGAGCCUAAGGCCGUCAACAAAAAAGGGAAGAAACGCGACAGGAACGGGGAAAUAAUAGCUCCUCAAGAAGGCAAGGAAAAGCCAAGGUCCAAAUUUGACGAAAGAGGAGAAAAUGGAAACUUAUUGGAAAAUGAAAUAUACGCCAUCGGCGGAACUAAGGAGGACUAUGAUCUCCUUGUUGAUGUCGAAUCCGAUUCGGAGAUGGAAAUCUUUGAGGAUACCCCAAGGAAAUACAAUGCGAAGGCGGUUAAUGAACAUACUCUGCACAAUGACAUAGAAAAGAUGCUGAAAGGGGAUAAUCCGUCUCCAGCUCCAAAACCUGCAAGUAAGAAGGCUGUGGUUGCGGAUAUUGUCCCCAUUGAUCCCAAGCCAGCAAAGGAAUCCAAGUCACUCCAGCAGGUCAAGCCAUCAAAGGAAGCCCGAAAGCAAAAUACUCUGAAGAAGCCAAACCCGAAUCAGGAGGAGGUCUCCGUCCCUGGAAGGCUGGCGCGGCAGCGUGAUACACGAUCAUCCAGCUUGGCUAUCGACCCUCGACCAGAUUGGUAUUCCAUACCUUUGCCCGAAGUCUCUCUCGAAUCGAAAAAGUGUAGCGGCAUCUCCCGACAGAUCUGGGAUCGUAUUCGAGAAUAUGCUGCAUCGUUACUUGACUCGGAAAACCAAGCCUUUGCAACUUCACAACAAUCCUCCUCAUCCCAUAAAUUCUAUUCCACGAUCGUUUCCUCAGGGACCUUGAGUGAUAAAGUAUCGGCGUUAACACUUGCGGUACAAGAGUCACCUCUACACAAUGUAAAAGCACUGGAGAACCUUAUUGGACUGGCUAAGAAACGAAGCCGAGCUCAGGCUAUUGAGGUUCUCAGAUCUCUAAAAGAUAUAUUUGCGCAAGGCACCCUUCUCCCCAGCGAUCGGAGACUAAAAUCACUUAUCAAUCAACCGGCGUUGCUGUCUGCCUUCGACGGUGUUUCAAGUAACUGGACGUCUUCCAACCCCUUACCAAACGGGUUGGAGCGCAGCCACCUCAUUGUUUGGGCUUUCGAGGACUUUCUAAAGGAGCAAUACUUUGAGGUACUGAAAAUCCUCGAAAUUUGGUGUAACGAUGAAAUCGAGUUUUCAAGAUCCAAGGCAGUAAGCUACGUUUACGAGCUUCUGAAAGAGAAGCCAGAACAGGAAUCCAAUUUGUUACGCCUCCUGGUCAAUAAGCUUGGCGAUCCAAACAAAAAGAUAGCUUCACGGACGUCCUAUCUUCUACUUCAACUUGAGCAGGCUCAUCCCCUAAUGAAGCCAACCAUAAUAUCAGCUGUCGAAUCCAACAUUCUUUUCCGCCCAGGGCAAAGCCAGCACGCCAAGUAUUAUGCAAUUAUCACACUCAAUCAGACCAUCUUGAGAAGUGGCGAAGAAAAUGUGGCAACGAAACUUCUCGAUAUUUAUUUUGCUCUUUUCGUUACUCUAUUGAAGCCAACCAAGAGUUCGACCAGUAACUCCGAACGUAAGCAUGGGAAACACGACGCAAAAUCUAAAAAGCGACAUGGUGGCGCUGCGAUCCCAAAAGGCCAGGCUCAGGAAACUGAGUUGCAUGAGAAGUUGACUGCUGCUGUUUUGACUGGAGUCAAUCGAGCUUACCCGUUUACUAGCUCUGAUGUCGAAAAACUUUCGAAGCAUAUUGACACCUUAUUCCGUAUCACUCAUUCCUCAAAUUUCAACACGAGUAUCCAAGCCUUGGUGCUUAUCCAGCAGCUGUCGUCGUCUCACCAAGUGUCGUUGCAUCGAUUUUAUCGAACGUUAUACGAGUCCCUACUCGACCCCCGACUGUCUACAUCCUCGAAGCAAUCGAUGUACUUAAAUCUCUUAUAUAAAUCGCUGAAGGCUGACUUCAACGUUAAACGAGUUAAGGCUUUCGUGAAAAGACUAGUUCAAACCCUAUCACUACAUCACCCACCUUUCAUUUGCGGGGUAUUUUAUUUGAUAAGGGAACUUGAAAAGGCUUUCCCCAACCUGUCUGCCCUCAUGGACGAGCAAGAGAACAUCGAAGACGACGAUGAGGAGGUUUUCAGAGAUGUUCCCGAGGACGGAGAACAACCUGCUGACCAGACGCCAGUGGAUGAAGGGAAGAAGGUUGAAAAUAGAUACAACCCUCGUAAAAGAGACCCCGAACAUAGCAACGCCGAUAGAAGUUGUCUCUGGGAACUACUGCCUUACCUUGCUCAUUUCCAUCCUUCCGUGUCUGUCAAUGCUUCGCAUCUACUGCACCACGAACCGAUGUCUGGCAAGCCGGAUCUCUCUAUUCAUACUCUUACACAUUUCUUAGACCGAUUCGUCUAUCGCAAUCCCAAGGCGACUCCCAGUAUGAGAGGAGCUUCCAUUAUGCAACCGCUAGCUGGAGGCGAAAGUAAAGGCUUAUUAAUCACAUCUGGAGGAAUGGCCAAAGCCCAUGAACCAGUGAACAGGGAAGAAUUCUGGAAAAAGCAAAGCGACGAAGUCGCUGCUGAAGAUGUCUUUUUCCACGAAUAUUUCAAUCGCAUGGAAAAGGAUAACCUGCGCAAACAGAAGUCGAAAAAGAAGCCAGGUGCGCGAGACAAGGGUGGGGAUGAGAGCGAUGCUGAGUCGGAGAUUUGGAAGGCUCUUGUUCAUUCUCGACCGGAACUUGAGGGCGAGGGUGAAAGUGAGGAUGGUAUCGACAUUGAUGAUUUGGCAUCCGCCAUGGGCGAUGAAGAAGAUGAUGGGCUUGGUGACGUUGAAAUGGGUGAUAUGGAAAGCCUUGAUGAUGAUGAGGAAGCAGAGGUAAUAUUUAACGAUGAGAGUGAUGAGCCAGAGGUUGAGGUGGAGCAAAGUGGAAGGGAUGCGGCACAGUAUAUUGACAGUUUCGGAGGCUUUAUGGAUGAAGAUGCGUUUGAAAUGGACGUCUCAGAUGAAGACGCGUUCCGAGGUAGUGAUGAUGAUUUGCCUUCUGAUCUGGACAAUGGGGUUGAAGAGCUACUCGCUGAAACUUCGUGUAAAGGAAACAAAUCUACGAGUAGACAGAAGAGGAAGAAACUCAAGCAUCUUCCUGUUUUCGCGUCUGUGGAUGAUUAUGCUGCCUUACUGGCGGAUGAAAACCCGGAUGAUGGUGUAUGAUAUCCUUAUACCAUUUCCUUGGGUGCGCUAUGCAUGUUGAUGGUUGGAAUGCUAUGAUAGAUAGAUCCUUGAAAUUUUUGAACAAUUGCUAUUAUUUUAAAUUACAUUUGAAUGUAUUAGCAGCAAUGCAUUCCAAGUGCUGAAGGAGUUGGGGUAUAGAUACAAUGUCAAGUUAU
This 3565-nucleotide small RNA is filed under the name Histoplasma capsulatum var. duboisii H88. RNAcentral's name for it is "Histoplasma capsulatum H88 hypothetical RNA". The record is from RNAcentral. Lineage: Eukaryota; Fungi; Ascomycota; Eurotiomycetes; Onygenales; Ajellomycetaceae.